Molecule: non-coding RNA, 238 nt
Organism: Staphylococcus sp. HMSC078E07
Lineage: Bacteria; Bacillati; Bacillota; Bacilli; Caryophanales; Staphylococcaceae
Source: Rfam
AAGAUUUAUAAUAAAAGUCAAUACAUAUGAUAUAAAUUAUAUGUAUUGACUUUAAAUUAUACGAAAGGGUUUUAGGGCCUUGUUUUUUAAAAAUAAUUCAAUGUAAAAUUACAUAUAAAUACAAAGUGUUUUGGUGAGACUCUUGAGGCAAUAGGAUAAGUUAAAGACUACAGGCUGAAGUUGUGCCCUAAGAAAGCGAGUCAACAAUACGCAGUAUUGUAAAUAAAAUAGCCAGUAA